CAGUCGCCACGGGAAUACGUAGGGUGCAAGCGUUAAUCGGAAUUACUGGGCGUAAAGCGUGCGCAGGCGGUUAUAUAAGACAGAUGUGAAAUCCCCGGGCUCAACCUGGGAACUGCAUUUGUGACUGUAUAGCUAGAGUACGGCAGAGGGGGAUGGAAUUCCGCGUGUAGCAGUGAAAUGCGUAGAUAUGCGGAGGAACACCGAUGGCGAAGGCAAUCCCCUGGGCCUGUACUGACGCUCAUGCACCAAAGCGUGGGGAGCAAACAGGAUUAGAUACCCCCGUAGUCCCUGUCUCUUAUAC
This 301-nucleotide ribosomal RNA is filed under the name uncultured bacterium. RNAcentral describes it as "partial 16S ribosomal RNA". It matches the Rfam family "Bacterial small subunit ribosomal RNA", at positions 509 to 807 of the family's 1533-position model. The record is from RNAcentral.